Molecule: ribosomal RNA, 207 nt
Filed under: uncultured bacterium
Lineage: Bacteria
Description: partial 16S ribosomal RNA
Rfam family: Bacterial small subunit ribosomal RNA
Source: RNAcentral
UCUCAGUUCGGAUUGGAGUCUGCAACCCGACUCCAUGAAGCUGGAUUCGCUAGUAAUCGCGCAUCAGCCACGGCGCGGUGAAUACGUUCCCGGGCCUUGUACACACCGCCCGUCAAGCCAUGGAAGCCGGGAGUGCCUGAAGUGCGUGACCGCAAGGAGCGCCCUAAGGCAAUACCGGUGACUGGGGCUAAGUCGUAACAAGGUACC